GGCCUUAUGGCGCAAUGACAGCACAUCUGACUCUAGAUCAGAAGGCUGUGUGUGCAAAUCACAUCAGGGUCA
Molecule: transfer RNA, 72 nt
Filed under: Pelodiscus sinensis (Chinese soft-shelled turtle)
Lineage: Eukaryota; Metazoa; Chordata; Testudines; Trionychidae
Rfam family: tRNA
About the family: Transfer RNA (tRNA) molecules are approximately 80 nucleotides in length. Their secondary structure includes four short double-helical elements and three loops (D, anti-codon, and T loops).
Source: Rfam by way of RNAcentral